UUUUGAAUCGUUGACAAGAGG
Molecule: non-coding RNA, 21 nt
Filed under: Caenorhabditis elegans
Lineage: Eukaryota; Metazoa; Nematoda; Chromadorea; Rhabditida; Rhabditidae
Source: RNAcentral